AAGUUUGAUCCUGGCUUAGGAUGAACGCUGGUAGUAUGCUUAACACAUGCGAGUCGAAUGAUGGUAACAUCAUGGCGAACGGGUGAGUACAAAAUAAGAAUCUGCCUUUUAGUUGGGUUAAAUACCUGAUGUACAGAAAGAUCCACGAUCGCUAAGAGAAGAGCUUAUUUAAGAUUAGGUUGUUGGUAGGGUAAAGGCCUACCAAGCCGACUAUCUUUAGCUGGUCUGAAAGGACGGUCAGCCACACUGGGACUGAGACAAGGCCCAGGCUUCAAACCGAAGCCAGCAGUGAGGAAUUUUGGACAAUGAGCGAAAGCUUGAUCCAGCAAUACUACGUGGGGGAAGAAGGCUCAAUUGGUCGUAAACCCCUUUCAUUAGGGAGGAUAAAGACAGUACCUAAAGAAGAAGCUCCGGCCAACUUCGUGCCAGCAGCCGCGGUAAUACGAAGGGAGCGAGCGUUAUCCGGAUUGAUUGGGCGUAAAGGGUCCGUAGGCGGCCU
Molecule: ribosomal RNA, 499 nt
Filed under: Heterosigma akashiwo
Lineage: Eukaryota; Raphidophyceae; Chattonellales; Chattonellaceae
Description: partial Bacterial small subunit ribosomal RNA
Rfam family: Bacterial small subunit ribosomal RNA
Source: RNAcentral